AAGAUAUGACUUCAGAUCCAUUUGACCAAUGAUCAGGAUUCUGGUGCAUAUCCCAAAUCUAAACUAGUCCUCCUAAUAUCAUCUAUUCUUAAUCUAGAAAUCGUGGAAAGAGUUGUAAUCAUCUCAAUCGUGGGAUCGAUUCCCAAAACUCGGUGCAUGUCCCUGAUCUAGUGCUUCAUGCUCAUCUUGAUCUACAAGAUUGUUAAAUUAGAUUAGAGAGAAAGAUAAGAUGGUGGUCGGUCUUAUACCGAUCAUGCAAGUAUGAGAGAAUCUGUGAGGGAAAUAAUGAGAAAGAGAGAGACAAGUGAAACAUCUACAAAACGGAGAGAAAAAAAGAUAAACAAAUAUAGGAGAGGUGAAACAAUCUUGAUGGCGAUCUUCUUAGCAAAAGAAAUAAUAGAAAGGUGAGGGGAGAUGUACCAGAGGUGGCGA
This 432-nucleotide long non-coding RNA is filed under the name Elaeis guineensis (African oil palm). RNAcentral's name for it is "long non-coding RNA (EGUI_LNC010003)". The record is from RNAcentral. Lineage: Eukaryota; Viridiplantae; Streptophyta; Magnoliopsida; Arecales; Arecaceae.